CGUAGGGUGCGAGCGUUAAUCGGAAUUACUGGGCGUAAAGCGUGCGCAGGCGGUUUUGUAAGACAGAGGUGAAAUCCCCGGGCUCAACCUGGGAACUGCCUUUGUGACUGCAAGGCUUGAGUGCGGCAGAGGGGAUGGAAUUCCGCGUGUAGCAGUGAAAUGCGUAGAUAUGCGGAGGAACACCGAUGGCGAAGGCAAUCCCCUGGGCCUGCACUGACGCUCAUGCACGAAAGCGUGGGGAGCAAACAGGAUUAGAUACCCUGGUAGUCCACGCCCUAAACGAUGUCAACUGGUUGUUGGGUCUUCACUGACUCAGUAACGAAGCUAACGCGUGAAGUUGACCGCCUGGGGAGUACGGCCGCAAGGUUG
This 369-nucleotide ribosomal RNA is filed under the name uncultured organism. RNAcentral describes it as "bacterial SSU rRNA". It matches the Rfam family "Bacterial small subunit ribosomal RNA", at positions 526 to 896 of the family's 1533-position model. The record is from RNAcentral.